ACGGCUCAGUAACACGUAGCUAACCUACCCUUGGGACGGGAAUAACCCCGGGAAACUGAGGUUAAUACCCGAUAGGUGUGGAUUCCUGGAAUGGUUCCACGCCCAAAUGUAAACGCAUCCAUGUUUGCGUGCACGCCCGAGGAUGGGGCUGCGGCCGAUCAGGCAGUUGGUGAGGUAACGGCUCACCAAACCUUUGACCGGUACGGGCCAUGAGAGUGGUAGCCCGGAGAUGGGCACUGAGACAAGGGCCCAGGCCCUACGGGGCGCAGCAGGCGCGAAACCUCCACAAUUCACGAAAGUGAGAUGGGGUUACCUCGAGUGCCGCCUGAAGAAGGCGGCUUUUCCAUUGUGUAAUGAGCCGUGGGAAUAAGGGGGGGCAAGACUGGUGUCAGCCGCCGCGGUAACACCAGCCCCCCGAGUGGUGGGGAUGAUUAUUUGGCCUAAAGCGUCCGUAGCCGGCUCCGUAAAUCUCUCGUUAAAUCCAACGUCCUAAGCGUUGGGCUGCGAGAGAGACUGCGAAGCUAGAGGGUGGGAGAGGUCAGCGGUAUUCCUGGGGUAGGGGCGAAAUCCAUUGAUCCCAGGAGGACCACCAGUGGCGAAGGCUGCUGACUAGAACACGCCUGACGGUGAGGGACGAAAGCUGGGGUAGCGAAUCGGAUUAGAUACCCGAGUAGUCCCAGCCGUAAACGAUGCAGGCUAGGUGUUGGGUUGGCCACGCGCCAGCUCAGUGCCACAGGGAAGCCAUUAAGCCUGCCGCCUGGGGAGUACGGCCGCAAGGCUGAAACUUAAAGGAAUUGGCGGGGGAGCACCACCAGGCGUGAAGCCUGCGGUUUAAUUGGAGUCAACGCCGGAAA
Molecule: ribosomal RNA, 854 nt
Filed under: uncultured archaeon
Lineage: Archaea
Description: bacterial SSU rRNA
Rfam family: Archaeal small subunit ribosomal RNA
Source: RNAcentral